UUGGGCGUAAGCGAGCGCAGGCGGUUUCUUAAGUCUGAUGUGAAAGCCUUCGGCUUAACCGGAGAAGUGCAUCGGAAACUGGGAGACUUGAGUGUAGAAGAGGACAGUGGAACUCCAUGUGUAGCGGUGAAAUGGGUAGAUAUAUGGAAGAACACCAGUGGCGAAGGCGGCUGUCUGGUCUGUAACUGACGCUGAGGCUCGAAAGCAUGGGUAGCGAACAGGAUUAGAUACCCUGGUAGUCCAUGCCGUAAACGAUGAAUACUAGGUGUUGGAGGGUUUCCGCCCUUCAGUGCCGCAGCUAACGCAUUAAGUAUUCCGCCUGGGGAGUACGACCGCAAGGUUGAAACUCAAAGGAAUUGACGGGGGCCCGCACAAGCGGUGGAGCAUGUGGUUUAAUUCGAAGCUACGCGAAGAACCUUACCAGGUCUUGACAUACUGUGCUAACCUAAGAGAUUAGGUGUUCCCUUCGGGGACGCAGAUACAGGUGGUGCAUGGCUGUCGUCAGCUCGUGUCGUGAGAUGUUGGGUUAAGUCCCGCAACGAGCGCAACCCUUAUUGUCAGUUGCCAGCAUUCAGUUGGGCACUCUGGCGAGACUGCCGGUGACAAACCGGAGGAAGGUGGGGAUGACGUCAAGUCAUCAUGCCCCUUAUGACCUGGGCUAC
Molecule: ribosomal RNA, 662 nt
Filed under: uncultured bacterium
Lineage: Bacteria
Description: bacterial SSU rRNA
Rfam family: Bacterial small subunit ribosomal RNA
Source: RNAcentral